AUUUCAGUGGUGUAGUGAUAGCAAGCGUCCCCGAUAUGGGUGAAACACGGGUUCGACUCCCGUCUGAGGUC
Parelaphostrongylus tenuis is the source of this 71-nucleotide non-coding RNA. The record is from the annotation of a GenBank genome assembly. Lineage: Eukaryota; Metazoa; Nematoda; Chromadorea; Rhabditida; Metastrongylidae.